Molecule: ribosomal RNA, 496 nt
Filed under: uncultured bacterium
Lineage: Bacteria
Description: partial 16S ribosomal RNA
Rfam family: Bacterial small subunit ribosomal RNA
Source: RNAcentral
AUUGAACGCUGGCGGCAUGCCUUACACAUGCAAGUCGAACGGUAGAGGGGGCAACCCCUCGAGAGUGGCGAACGGGUGAGUAAUGCAUCGGAACGUGCCCAGUAGUGGGGGAUAGCCCGGCGAAAGCCGGAUCAAUACCGCAUGAGACCUACUGGUGAAAGGGGGGGAUCGCAAGACCUUUCGCUAUUGGAGCGGCGGAUGACAGAUUAGGCAGUUGGUGGGGUAAAGGCCUACCAAGCCGACGAGCUGUAGCUGGUCUGAGAGGACGACCAGCCACACUGGGACUGAGAAACGGCCCAGACUCCUACGGGAGGCAGCAGUGGGGAAUUUUGGACAAUGGGCGAAAGCCUGAUCCAGCCAUGCCGCGUGCGGGAAGAAGGCCUUCGGGUUGUAAACCGCUUUUGUCAGGGAAGAAAUCCUUUGAGCUAAUACCUCGGGGGGAUGACGGUACCUGAAGAACAAGCACCGGCUAACUACGUGCCAGCCGCCGCGGUAA